AGACAUCUGAGUCACUCCUCAACCCAGAUACACAUCCUGGCUAUUUCCUCAGGAUUGACUAGAGAUGACUAAUGGCUGGGCUCUCUAAGAUUUUCCCAGAACUCUUGAUAACUCCAAUCUCACAUAAAAGAACGUCCUCUUCUAACCAUCUGCUUUCUCACAAAACCUACCCUGACACGUUGGGAAGAUUCUGCGCUGCAGGGUGAUCUGCGGAGAGGUUCAUCAGGUGAAGAGUCGCCGUGAAAAUGGCCAGGUUCCCCGAGGUGCAACGCUUACAGUGAUAAUAAUUAAGAGGGAAGGUCCAGGGAAAAUACGGAAGAGGCAGACCAGCAGCCGACGGACAGAGACGAUAACGGAAGAACCAUUAGGGAGGUUGCGAAUUAUGGCAGAGGACAGGACGUUCUGGAGAAAGCAAAUCCAUGAGUCGCUGUGAACCGGAAACGACUCGACGGCACUCGAUGAUAAUAAUGAUUCCAUAUUAUUAUGUAAUAAUAAUGAACAAUAAUAACGAGCCAUAAUAAUAAACUACGGUAUUUGUUAA
This is a long non-coding RNA of Ornithorhynchus anatinus (platypus), 541 nucleotides long. RefSeq lists it as uncharacterized. Lineage: Eukaryota; Metazoa; Chordata; Mammalia; Monotremata; Ornithorhynchidae. The transcript has 2 exons. The record is from RefSeq and is a predicted model, not a curated record.